This 400-nucleotide ribosomal RNA is filed under the name phytoplankton environmental sample. Its description in RNAcentral is "partial small subunit ribosomal RNA". It matches the Rfam family "Eukaryotic small subunit ribosomal RNA", at positions 587 to 982 of the family's 1831-position model. The record is from RNAcentral.
AGCUCCAAUAGCGUAUAUUAAAGUUGUUGCAGUUAAAAAGCUCGUAGUUGGAUUUCUGGUUCGCUGCGCCUGGCCCGCCUGCGUUAGCAGUGUGAGUGCCGGUUGCGCGGUAGCCAUCCUUCUGGAGAACGGGCCUACUCUUCACUGAGUCGGGUCCGCGACCCAGAUCCUUUACUUUGAAAAAAUUAGAGUGUUUAAAGCAGGCAUUUGCUCUGAAUACAUUAGCAUGGAAUAAUGAUAUAGGACUUUGGUUCUAUUUUGUUGGUUUCUAGGACUGAAGUAAUGAUUGAUAGGGAUAGUUGGGGGUGCUAGUAUUGAGCGGCCAGAGGUGAAAUUCUUGGAUUCGCUCAAGACUAACUUAUGCGAAAGCAUUCACCAAGGAUGUCUUCUUUAAUCAAGA